RNAcentral lists this ribosomal RNA (990 nucleotides) under uncultured Lysobacterales bacterium. RNAcentral's name for it is "bacterial SSU rRNA". It matches the Rfam family "Bacterial small subunit ribosomal RNA", at positions 9 to 988 of the family's 1533-position model. Lineage: Bacteria; Pseudomonadati; Pseudomonadota; Gammaproteobacteria; Lysobacterales. The record is from RNAcentral.
GAGUUUGAUCGUGGCUCAGAGUGAACGCUGGCGGUAGGCCUAACACAUGCAAGUCGAACGGUAACAGGUCUUUCGGGAUGCUGACGAGUGGCGGACGGGUGAGGAAUACAUCGGAAUCUGCUCAGUCGUGGGGGAUAACGCAUGGAAACGUGCGCUAAUACCGCAUACGACCUUCGGGUGAAAGCAGGGGAAUCUCUCGGGAUCCUUGCGCGAUUGAAUGAGCCGAUGUCGGAUUAGCUAGUUGGUAGGGUAAAAGCCAACCAAGGCCACGAUCCGUAGCUGGUCUGAGAGGAUGAUCAGCCACACUUGGACUGAGACACGGCCCAGACUCCUGCGGGAGGCAGCAGUGGGGAAUAUUGGACAAUGGGGGCAACCCUGAUCCAGCCAUACCGCGUGGGUGAAGAAGGCCUUCUGGGUUGUAAAGCCCUUUUGUUGGGGAAGAAAAACAACGGGUUAAUACCCCGUUGGUAUGACGGUACCCAAAGAAUAAGCACCGGCUAACUUCGUGCCAGCAGCCGCGGUAAUACGAAGGAUGCAAGCGUUACUCGGAAUUACUGGGCGUAAAGGGUGCGUAGGUGGUUGCGCCAGUCUGUCGUGAAAGCCCUGGGCUUAACCUGGGAAUGGCGAUGGAAACUGUGCAACUAGAGUGUGACAGAGGGUGGUGGAAUUCCUGGUGUAGCAGUGAAAUGCGUAGAGAUCAGGAGGAACAUUCGUGGCGAAGGCGGCCACCUGGGUCAACACUGACACUGAGGCACGAAAGCGUGGGGAGCAAACAGGAUUAGAUACCCUGGUAGUCCACGCCCUAAACGAUGCGAACUGGAUGUUGGGUCCAACUUGGGAUUCAGUAUCGAAGCUAACGCGUUAAGUUCGCCGCCUGGGGAGUACGGUCGCAAGACUGAAACUCAAAGGAAUUGACGGGGGCCCGCACAAGCGGUGGAGUAUGUGGUUUAAUUCGAUGCAACGCGCAGAACCUUACCUGGCCUUGACAUG